CUGGCUCCUGGAAACUUGAGCAGAGACUGGGUCCUCUACUCUUUUUCAGAAGUUCUCCCAUGAGGGUGUGAGUGGCCAGGGAGAUGUCCUGAAAGGGAUUCUGGGCUCGGAGUGGCUUAGAGGGCAGUUUCCCACGAAUUUUCCAAUUUUCUUCAGUCAGAAAGUGAGCGACCCAUGACCAGUCCCAUGCCCCGAGCACAGCCCAGCAGAGCUCAGAGUUGGUCCACAGCAUGUAGGGGGGUGGGAAUGAUGACCAUCGCGGCAGAGCCCACGCUGGCCAGCACAGCUGGUGCUCCACAUUUUAAGCAGGAGUGGACACACGUACCCAGGAUCUCCCAAACCCGUGCAGGCCAACCCACCCCGGUCUGAGUCAGCUUUCUCAUCCAGACUUGAGUCUUAGUUAGAGCACUGCCUUAGCCUUUAGUGAGGCCCCCAAAAUGAUGUCAAUGUUCACGCUCAGCUGCCCUCGCCUCAACCAGGCUAAUGAGGAUGGGGAAAAAGUUCUUUGUUUUAGGCCAAAUGGGUCUUCUCUAACUGCAGCUGUUUUCUUUUUUUGUUCCUACAAGUGCUGGGCCCACCCACAUAGUUUAAAGCCAAGAUCAGGACAGAGAUGGAGGGAGCUGUCCCCUGGCCACCCUGAUACCUGCUGUUGGAAAUCAACAAACAAACACAAACCCACUUUGCGUUCUGUGAGUGUGCAUGUAUGUUGGUCCCUAGGUGCUGCAGGACAAGAGGAGGGCCAGAAAGCUCUGCCCAUGCCUGGGGAGCAUGCUGGAUCUCCCUUCCAGCUACAGAAGAGGUCUAUGGUUUCUUAGACACGCGUGGAUUCUCACAGCCACCACCACAGACAGUACAAGCAACAGUUCCAAUACUCCAGAGAACGCCCUCAUCUCUCCUCACCCCUGCCUUCUGGCAAGCAAUGAGCUGUUCUCUGUUCCUGUAUUUUUGCCUUUUCUAGAAUGCCAUAUAAAUGGAAUUAUAUAGAAUGUGCCCUUUUGGUACUGGCCUCUUUUGUUCAAAAGAAUAAUACCUUUGAGAUUCAUCCAUGCUGUUGUUUGAAUCAAGCAUGUUAACUUUUAUUGCUGAGUAGUAGUCCAUUGUGUAGAUAUAUUACAGUUUUUUAAAAAUCUACCCCUGUCGAAGGACAUUUGGGUUGUUUUCAGUUCUUGGUGAGGAUGAACAUUUGUGUGCAGAUUUUGUGUGGACUUAAAAUCUUG
Molecule: long non-coding RNA, 1217 nt
Filed under: Homo sapiens (human)
Lineage: Eukaryota; Metazoa; Chordata; Mammalia; Primates; Hominidae
Description: PREDICTED lncRNA (TCONS_00158034)
Source: RNAcentral